Molecule: ribosomal RNA, 497 nt
Filed under: uncultured bacterium
Lineage: Bacteria
Description: partial 16S ribosomal RNA
Rfam family: Bacterial small subunit ribosomal RNA
Source: RNAcentral
GACGAACGCUGGCGGCGUGCCUAAUACGUGCAAGUUGAGCGCUGAAGGUUGGUACUUGUACCAACUGGAUGAGCAGCGAACGGGUGAGUAACGCGUGGGGAAUCUGCCUUUGAGCGGGGGACAACAUUUGGAAACGAAUGCUAAUACCGCAUAAAAACUUUAAACACAAGUUUUAAGUUUGAAAGAUGCAAUUGCAUCACUCAAAGAUGAUCCCGCGUUGUAUUAGCUAGUUGGUGAGGUAAAGGCUCACCAAGGCGAUGAUACAUAGCCGACCUGAGAGGGUGAUCGGCCACAUUGGGACUGAGACACGGCCCAAACUCCUACGGGAGGCAGCAGUAGGGAAUCUUCGGCAAUGGACGAAAGUCUGACCGAGCAACGCCGCGUGAGUGAAGAAGGUUUUCGGAUCGUAAAACUCUGUUGGUAGAGAAGAACGUUGGUGAGAGUGGAAAGCUCAUCAAGUGACGGUAACUACCCAGAAAGGGACGGCUAACUACGUG